CGAUCUGGGAACGAGCCCCGCUUCAAUCUCAACCGUCGGAGCAUGAAAGAGAACCCACCCACGGCGGUAAACCCUAGCCGCCCGCACUGCCUAGCUGGUGACCCGCCCCAUCUGGCUCCUCCUCUCCGCCGCCCAUCCACCUCCUCCUCUCUGCCUCGUCCUCGCUGCGUCACCGCGUCGUGCCCCCAUGAACCGGACCGAGUGGAUGUAGCGCCUCCCUUCCUCGCCGGCGCUCAGUCCGCAGACGUGACGCGGAGAUGAGAGGAUGAACUUCAGCGAGCAAGGGAGAAGAGGAGGUCGAACCACCCCAAUCCUCUUUUCCGCCCAGCGGAGGUCGCAAAGCUCCCUCUUCUCGUUGGCGACUACAACGACAGCGGCUGCUGCGUCACCGCGGGAGAAGAGGGCUGCGACGGUCGCCUGAUGGGCGAGAUUCCUCCUCCACCAGCGAGUCGACGACGAAGCAGAGUGAUGCGAUUGGAGUUUUUGUUUUGCUGCCCGGUUAGUCUAAAAAUUGGUACCCAAACCUACUUUUGGUGGUCUCCUCGCGGGGGUUGGCUCUAGAAGCACACGUCUUGAAGAUGACCCUUGGGGAGAUUGAGAGCUCCAGUUCAGCGCUGUCAUCGUCCAGCUGUUAAUCCAACAGGCAGAUUUUGGGAAGCAAGGUAAUAUAUACCUGGGAUUGUCAGCUCUCUCUGCUGCGUUUUGAUGAUGGACUUUAAACUGAUGAUGGUGUUGGCGUAGAUCGUCUUGGCAUUCACGGGAAGAAAGUUUGGAUGCACGAGAGCCAAGAGAUCUCGGCCAUGCCUCGUGGUAUAGGAUGGUGGUGUUGCUGGUGAAUGGUCACACGACGGAUGAUGCCAAGCUGGUGCACUAGGACAAGGUCGGCCUUCCCGAUGGCAUGACCGCAUGACUAUCAAGGCCAUGGACAUCUGGAUGGUACGUCUACCUUUCCUGACAUUCUAGGAUUGCCCGACAUGGAUGAUUGAUCUUGACUGUUUUAUUAUGUUGUCGUCGUUUUUGUUUGUUGCACCACAAGGCACUGGACACCAAUUUCACGGAUAAUAUAUUUUUCAUUGUCAAGGAAAAAACGAAUUAUCUCUUAUUUGAGACACACUUUUAUGGGAGACUUUUGUUGAGCAUUUCGUGUCUACACUUGGCACACACACUGCACUCAAUUCUAUUGGCUUCUUGAAGGGCAACCUUUUGGUGAGUCAAUUUUUGCUUGAGAUUCUAGAAUCCAUGUCAAAUCUCAGGUAACAAAUUCGAAUCUUUAAUGUAGGUUUUGGUAGGAUAUCUUUUCUUCGGUUUGGUUAUCAAUUUUAUUCCAGAGCCAACCUUUGUGCCAGCCACUGAUACAAGCAAGAAUGAAGUUGGAAUGAACAAUCUUCGGGGAUAAGUACAACAUCAUAAUUGUCUGUUUUCUUAUUAAAAUAUGAUGAUUGGGUAGAAUUUAGUUUGUUUAUGUGGAAAGCAGACUCAUGAUAAUGAUUUCGGGUAAAUAUAUGAACAUGUGAUGAAAAAGCAUCACCGGAAAGUGUUAUUCAGGGAUAUCAUCAUACAUUUUGGUAAGAAACUAAGAAUGUGUUUAAAUCAAUAAGCUCGCCUGUUUAUUAGGCCUGCACUUGUCAAACUUUAUUUUAGGUGACAUUAUUAUUUGAACCAUUUCAUGCCACAUGAUAUUCCAUAAUAAAAUUCUGUGAAGUUUUGCUUCCUUGAAGCUAUAAUCAUUUGACUAAAUACUUACUCUGAGCUGCAGGAAUCAGUUUGCACAAUUUUUGUGAGGCAAUUGCAGUAUUUCAUGGAUCUGUGAAGCUAAUACCUUUGUGUAUUUAUGUUAAUAUAAUAUUAUAAUUAAUCUUCUAAAGAUGGUUUAGGACUUAGGACUGCACCUUGCAUUUGUUCUAAUAGAGAAGUUACCGGGGACUACCUUGGAUGUUUCGAUUUUCGAAGAGCUAAUUUACCAUAUCGGACUUCAAAUCUUGCAAGGCGUUCGCGUGGGAGUUAACUUGGCUUUUGCUAUUGCCUUAUAUAGCAUACCCGAGGUGCAUAAAUCAACCCACCAACCUUUCUGGUUAGGUAACCUGAAUAUUCAUAUCCAUAUCUGAAGGCGCGUCUUGCAUCCUUGCCACUUUGAAUAUCCCUUGCAUUGUUUUUACUAAUAAGAUUCAGCUGCCCUUAUUAUUUGAUGGUAUAUCCACCAACGAAAAAGGGCCACAGUUACCUGAGCAGGCUUAUAUGCCAUUAACCUUUGAGAUUUUCUAUACUCGCGUCGUCUUCUUCAUGCAGGCUCUCCAUUGUCCGUAGGUUAUUUGUACAGGACAAGCCCAUCUUAGCAUGAAAGAGAGGGGGAUAUGGAUAGAAGGAGGGGAGGCAUGAGCAUGAGGAGAGGAGGUCACACCACUCUGCAGCUAUAUGCAAAGCCUGAUGUUUCAGUUCCCUGUGUGAUAAUUUCAGUACCAUCUUUAUUGUGUAUACCAGUAUUGAUUUCUUUAUUAUUAUCUUUGCCAUUUACUGAAAUUUCAAACUACAUACUGGAAUAAAUUGUGCAAGCAUUAAAUGAAGAACCAUUUUUUUCCUGUAGUGUUUGCAUAGAGGUUCGUUGUUUGCCCAAGGUAAUUGAGCUUUCUUCAACGCUGGAUAUCAGUUUCAGUUAUAAAGACAUGUUCCUGCUCUGAGCAAUGGCAAAGGUUUUUAUGUUGCACUAGAUUUUAAUGCAUCUGUUAUGUAAUCUCUUAAGAUAAAGGAAUCUUCCUUCAGCUGAUGUUUGCUCUUCUCAGUGGCCUACAUGUGGCUGAAUUUACUCUACGUACUAUUUGUGAGUUGCUGGUAGCUCUAUUAUAUUGCAGCUUUUACGUCUUAUUUGUUAGUCAAUCCAUCUAUUACAAAAUUUCUUACACCCCUUUUCCCAACAAGUAUGCAUGCCCACCUCUGCUAUAACUGUCGCAAUAUGUUAUUCUUGUCACUUACAUUUUGUCCUUAUGUUAAAUAGUUGUAGUGUACAUAGGGUGUCUGAUACCUUAUUUCAAUAUUGAAAUCCACUUUUUGUCAGGUGCUUUUUCUUUGCCUCCUUGGGAGCAGGACGUUUCCUUUCUCCUGCUUGCUUUCUCCACCACCAUGACUGGAUGGUUCCUCGUGAGCACCUACUGCUGCAAGGGGGAGUUGUAACUGAUUAAUGCUUGUGUGUGUUCCUUGUACAUCUUUCUAUGAUAGUGUUCUUUCUUAUUGUUUUGCUUAAACUGGGUAGCAAACUCAGACUCUUUGCAAUGCCAAUUUAAGUUUUGCAGUAUGUAUUGCACUGA
Lolium perenne is the source of this 3299-nucleotide non-coding RNA. The record is from RefSeq and is a predicted model, not a curated record. Lineage: Eukaryota; Viridiplantae; Streptophyta; Magnoliopsida; Poales; Poaceae.